CAUGAUCUGAGUGAGGGGCUGUGCUGGGAACCACACAGGGAAGCUGCAAAACCACUCAGGAAAAAAAGAAAAUCAAAUGAGAAAGAAUGAAAACAUCACCGAUCACAGCACGGUUUGAGGGCAAAAUCCCAAGGAAAGGGGAAGGUCCUUCUGACAGCAGCACUCCUCUGCAGGAGCAGCAGAAUCAGGGCUCUGCUGGUGCCUGCUUGGCCCCUGGGUGCUCUUUAAUCCGAUGUCACGGGUUUUUCAAGCGUGCCACGUCCCCCCCCAGCCUGCUGCCAGCCCAUUGGUGGUUUAUGCCGUUUACAGCUCCCAAGGAGGAGAACUGCUGAAGAGCAGUGGGAAUAUUUACUUUCCGCUGCUAAUGCAAGUCGCAAGCAAAGGACUUCAAAAACCUUCUAACUUGCACGCGGGGAGCUGCAAACCGAGCCUGGCUGAGCACGAAACAAAUCUGCGGGAUGUUGUGCCAUGAGGAGAAACAGCUAAACCGCAACACAUCCUCGGAGCAGAGCUCUCAAAGGCGGCUGAGCCGCAGCACUGCCUGCAGGGAGGGACAGAGUCUGAGAAGCCACAGCCAGCAGGCUUGAUUGCUUGGAAGAGCUGAAAGAAUAAAAGAAAAAAAAAAAAAGGAAAAAAAGAAAAAAACAGAAAGGAAAGAAAAAAGAAACUAACUGUGAGCUGGGUGUCUCUGCCUUAUUCCCAUUCUCCAGCACCAGACCUUUAGCCUCUCUGUGCGUGCUUAUAUACACGGGUGCAUGCAUGCGCAUCCCUCCAACUGUAUCACCUGUGGGCGCUCAGGCACACUGUACACAAACAACUUUGCAAGCUCCAAUGGAUUAAAUGAACACAUUUUGGCUCUCCUUUUUCGUGACCACAGCUCAAAGCCCUGCACACAGCGUGCUCCCCCACUGAGGCAGCCCAGGCACCGCCGAGCUGCAGCCCCGGCUCUCACACUUCCCCACGCCUCCGCCAGUGAUGCAGAAACAGAGCCAGGUGGAGGAGAUCCUGUCCUGACGACCUGGGGACGGCGGAACCAGACCCAGCGUUCUUUAAACCAACACUGACCUCAGUGCUGUUGGAGCUGAGCCUGCCCCUCCAAACCCCACCGCUACAUCAAUGCGAGGCUGACAUAAAAGAGAGCAGAAAUGUGAUUCAUCA
Long non-coding RNA from Numida meleagris (helmeted guineafowl), 1158 nucleotides. RefSeq lists it as uncharacterized. Lineage: Eukaryota; Metazoa; Chordata; Aves; Galliformes; Numididae. The transcript is spliced from 2 exons. The record is from RefSeq and is a predicted model, not a curated record.